GACGAACGCUGGCGGCGUGCUUAACACAUGCAAGUCGAACGCUGAAGCUCAGCUUUUGUUGGGUGGAUGAGUGGCGAACGGGUGAGUAACACGUGAGUAACCUGCCCCCUUCUUUGGGAUAACGCCCGGAAACGGGUGCUAAUACUGGAUAUUCACUGGUCUUCGCCUGGGGGUUGGUGGAAAGGGUUUUUCUGGUGGGGGAUGGGCUCGCGGCCUAUCAGCUUGUUGGUGGGGUGAUGGCCUAACAAGGCGUUGACGGGUAGCCGGCCUGAGAGGGUGACCGGGAACAUUGGGACUGGGAUGCGGCCCAGAGUCCUACGGGAGGCAGCAGUGGGGAAUAUUGGACAAUGGGCGCAAGCCUGAUGCAGCGACGCCGCGGGAGGGAUGGAGGCCUUCGGGUUGUGAACCUCUUUCGCUCAUGGUCAAGCCGCAACAAUGGUUGUGGUGAGGGUAGUGGGUAAAGAAGCGCCGGCUAACUACGUG
RNAcentral lists this ribosomal RNA (483 nucleotides) under uncultured bacterium. RNAcentral describes it as "partial 16S ribosomal RNA". It matches the Rfam family "Bacterial small subunit ribosomal RNA", at positions 28 to 507 of the family's 1533-position model. The record is from RNAcentral.